This 1842-nucleotide ribosomal RNA is filed under the name Alternaria alternata. RNAcentral's name for it is "partial 18S ribosomal RNA". It matches the Rfam family "Eukaryotic small subunit ribosomal RNA", at positions 52 to 1405 of the family's 1831-position model. The record is from RNAcentral. Lineage: Eukaryota; Fungi; Ascomycota; Dothideomycetes; Pleosporales; Pleosporaceae.
GGGUGCUCAUGUCUAGUAUAAGCAUUAUACCGUGAAACUGCGAAUGGCUCAUUAAAUCAGUUAUCGUUUAUUUGAUAAUACCUUACUACUUGGAUAACCGUGGUAAUUCUAGAGCUAAUACAUGCUGAAAAUCCCGACUUCGGAAGGGAUGUGUUUAUUAGAUAAAAAACCAAUGCCCUUCGGGGCUUUUUGGUGAUUCAUGAUAACUUUACGGAUCGCAUAGCCUUGCGCUGGCGACGGUUCAUUCAAAUUUCUGCCCUAUCAACUUUCGAUGGUAAGGUAUUGGCUUACCAUGGUUUCAACGGGUAACGGGGAAUUAGGGUUCGAUUCCGGAGAGGGAGCCUGAGAAACGGCUACCACAUCCAAGGAAGGCAGCAGGCGCGCAAAUUACCCAAUCCCGACACGGGGAGGUAGUGACAAUAAAUACUGAUACAGGGCUCUUUUGGGUCUUGUAAUUGGAAUGAGUACAAUUUAAACCUCUUAACGAGGAACAAUUGGAGGGCAAGUCUGGUGCCAGCAGCCGCGGUAAUUCCAGCUCCAAUAGCGUAUAUUAAAGUUGUUGCAGUUAAAAAGCUCGUAGUUGAAACUUGGGCCUGGCUGGCGGGUCCGCCUCACCGCGUGCACUCGUCCGGCCGGGCCUUCCUUCUGAAGAACCUCAUGCCCUUCACUGGGCGUGCUGGGGAAUCAGGACUUUUACUUUGAAAAAAUUAGAGUGUUCAAAGCAGGCCUUUGCUCGAAUACGUUAGCAUGGAAUAAUAAAAUAGGGCGUGCGUUUCUAUUUUGUUGGUUUCUAGAGACGCCGCAAUGAUUAACAGGAACAGUCGGGGGCAUCAGUAUUCAGUUGUCAGAGGUGAAAUUCUUGGAUUUACUGAAGACUAACUACUGCGAAAGCAUUUGCCAAGGAUGUUUUCAUUAAUCAGUGAACGAAAGUUAGGGGAUCGAAGACGAUCAGAUACCGUCGUAGUCUUAACCGUAAACUAUGCCGACUAGGGAUCGGGCGAUGUUCUUUUUCUGACUCGCUCGGCACCUUACGAGAAAUCAAAGUUUUUGGGUUCUGGGGGGAUUAUGGUCGCAAGGCUGAAACUUAAAGAAAUUGACGGAAGGCACCACCAGGCGUGGAGCCUGCGGCUUAAUUUGACUCAACACGGGGAAACUCACCAGGUCCAGAUGAAAUAAGGAUUGACAAAUUGAAACUCUUUCUUGAUUUUUCAGGGGGGGUGCAUGGCCGUCCUUAUUUCCUGGGGUGACUUGUCUGCUUAUUUGGAUAACCAGCGAGAACUUAAUCUGGUAAAAACAAGGGAAACUUUGGUUGGGCGCGCGUCUUUAAAGAACAUACACCCACGUUAAGGAAGUGUAGGCAAAACAAGCUUGGAAGGUUUAAAAUUCUGGGCCCACCCGCUCACUCGAAAGACAAAAAUGCUUCCUGUUCUCAAAAAGGGAAAAUUGUGAUCUUCCUCGGGGGGAAAAAUAAAAUACUUUUUACAAAAAUUCAAAGCUCGCUUGGGGUUCGUGUCGUGCGUUUUUCACCCCGCUCCCCUAAGGAAAAGGCUUUGAACGUGGUCAACCCAGCCAGGGAAAAGAACAUAUUGCGGCGCCUCCGCACAUACAUUUCUUAGGUUGCCCCUGUCCAGUGAUAAAAAUAGGGGGAUACCGAUGCUUCACGCUGAGAAAUUGCGUCUCCACUCGCUCUAAAAACAACCUUCCGUUAACUAGCCUUAAAAAAAAAACACCCGCAGCGCGUUUCUCUGAUUUCGGAUCACAUAAGAGGGAUUUGUAAUGGGCCAUGCCCGGGCCCAAAGGUAAAAGUUAAACCUAAACUGUAAAAAUUAAUUUUCAUUAAAU